GCGGGCGUGGCGAAAUUGGUAUACGCACGAGACUUAAAAUCUUGCGCCUUAAAUGGCUUACGGGUUCGAGUCCCGUCGCCCGCA
RNAcentral lists this transfer RNA (84 nucleotides) under Pseudooceanicola antarcticus. RNAcentral's name for it is "tRNA_Leu_TAA". It matches the Rfam family "tRNA". Rfam says of the family: Transfer RNA (tRNA) molecules are approximately 80 nucleotides in length. Their secondary structure includes four short double-helical elements and three loops (D, anti-codon, and T loops). Further hydrogen bonds mediate the characteristic L-shaped molecular structure. tRNAs have two regions of fundamental functional importance: the anti-codon, which is responsible for specific mRNA codon recognition, and the 3' end, to which the tRNAs corresponding amino acid is attached (by aminoacyl-tRNA synthetases). tRNAs cope with the degeneracy of the genetic code in two manners: having more than one tRNA (with a specific anti-codon) for a particular amino acid; and 'wobble' base-pairing, i.e. permitting non-standard base-pairing at the 3rd anti-codon position. Lineage: Bacteria; Pseudomonadati; Pseudomonadota; Alphaproteobacteria; Rhodobacterales; Paracoccaceae. The record is from RNAcentral.